This 443-nucleotide ribosomal RNA is filed under the name uncultured bacterium. Its description in RNAcentral is "partial 16S ribosomal RNA". It matches the Rfam family "Bacterial small subunit ribosomal RNA", at positions 338 to 795 of the family's 1533-position model. The record is from RNAcentral.
CCUACGGGAGGCAGCAGUGGGGAAUAUUUGACAAUGGGGGGAACCCUGAUCCAGCGACGCCGCGUGAGUGAAGACGUAUUUCGGUAUGUAAAGCUCUAUCAGCAGGGAAGAAAGAAAUGACGGUACCUGACUAAGAAGCCCCGGCUAACUACGUGCCAGCCGCCGCCGUAAUACGUAGGGGGCAAGCGUUAUCCGGAUUUACUGGGUGUAAAGGGAGCCUAGACGGUUACGCAAGUCUGGAGUGAAAGGCGGGGGCCCAACCCCCGGACUGCUUUGGAAACUGGAUAACUGGAGUGCAGGAGAGGUAAGUGGAAUUCCUAGUGUAGCAGUGAAAUGCGUAGAUAUUAGGAGGAACACCAGUGGCGAAGGCAGCUUACUGGACUGUAACUGACGUUGAGGCACGAAAGCGUGGGGAGCAAACAGGAUUAGAUACCCCAGUAGUC